Molecule: antisense RNA, 195 nt
Filed under: secondary endosymbiont of Ctenarytaina eucalypti
Lineage: Bacteria; Pseudomonadati; Pseudomonadota; Gammaproteobacteria; Enterobacterales; Enterobacteriaceae
Description: Yersinia sRNA 276
Rfam family: Yersinia sRNA 276
Source: Rfam by way of RNAcentral
AACGGACAUGAGCGAUUCAUUGAUAGAUCCCUGCCCUACUGCUAGAUAGGCGUUCAUACCCAGCUCUUUCAUCUGCUGUUCGCCUAUGACUCGCGUUGUAGUAUUUUUACUCUGGCCGUCAGCUAACUGACGGGCCAGUGAGGCGAGAUAAGCAGCAUUGCAAAUAUUUGGCGGCAUAUUGCCUAAAUCUUUAGC